This 1042-nucleotide long non-coding RNA is filed under the name Homo sapiens (human). Its description in RNAcentral is "non-protein coding ATP2A1-AS1:9". Lineage: Eukaryota; Metazoa; Chordata; Mammalia; Primates; Hominidae. The record is from RNAcentral.
CCCCCGCGCCGCAGCCGGCAUCGCGGCGGGACCCGGAGCCCGGAGUUCGGGUGGGUAACCCGAGCUCUCCAAGCUCUUGAAGCCGCGAGGGUGGCUUAGCUUCGGUGUUUUGGCUGAGAACACCCUUAAAGCUUAAAAUAAAACCUGCCUCUGGGGUGCAGGGGAGGAGAGAGGAGGACGCGAAUCACACCCGCUGCUGCGCGCCAGCCCGCCCCGUCUGUACAAUGGGAUGCUCGGGACUCGGACGGGAGGAUCCAGUGACUGCGAGCCCCGCAUUCGCCCGAUCCCAGCCUCACACCCCCAGCCAGCCCCCAGAGACCCUCCCACACUUACGAAGGAAAUGCAUGCGGCCAGGAGGAGAAUCCGCACCAGGAGGUCUUCAAACUGCUCUAUCACCAGCUCCCACAGGGUCUUCCCUGGGGGAGGAGGCAAGGGGAGGGCCCCGGGUUAAGGUCUAGUGGGUGAAGGUCUGGGAUGGAGCGCCCUGGACUCCGGCCUGCAGUGGGGAGGCUCUAGGGUGGUGGGCAGACAGCUUGGUGCCCAGAGAAGGGCUAAGAAGCUCGCCUGGAGUCCAGAAACAGACUCGGCAAAGUGGGGGGCAGUUCAAGGGUUGGCUGCUUCAAGGAGAAAGCGCCUGGGAGACUUCUGCCCCGGACAGGACUCUAACCUUUAGGGAGGGAGAUUUGCCUUUUGGGAAGGGAUAUUUGCUCAAAGAAUCUAAAGAGGCAGGGAGGAGGGAGUGGGACAGGGCGGGGUGGGGGGUGGUCAUUUAUGAGAGUUCAGGGAUUCCAGUAACUUACCUUCCUCAGCAGGGAGCUCUACCCAGGAAAAAGAAGAAAAGGACAGAUUCAUUUGGGGUUCAGCCUCAUGCCCCCCACACCCAAGACUUUGUGGCUAAGAGAAUCAGGCCACCUUGAGGUUCAUCAAGUUCAUCCCAUUAAAACCUCCCAAAACUCUGGAUCUCGGGACUCUGUUUUCUCAGUAUCUUCUUCCCCCUGCGAGCAUUGGACAACGGCCCAGCUCUUCCUUAAGAAACCCUGAA